CAUUUGUAAACAAGCGUUAUGGGCCUUGAAAACAUUUUCUACAUUUUAGUAAUUGUAAUGGUAGCUAACAAGCCUCCAGAUUGCUAUCCGCCAUCGAAUUGCGUGGGAAAUUGAAACUCCAUACAAUAUAAAUAUUAACAUCAUAUAACUAUCUGUAUCACUGAAUAAAACGUUUAGUUUAUAAAUUUUAUAAUGUAACUUAAUAUCUAAAAUCGUAAAAUAGAUCGAUUAACCUGG
Molecule: long non-coding RNA, 237 nt
Organism: Drosophila biarmipes
Lineage: Eukaryota; Metazoa; Arthropoda; Insecta; Diptera; Drosophilidae
Exons: 2
Source: RefSeq, a predicted model, not a curated record